UACGAAGGGGGCUAGCGUUGCUCGGAAUCACUGGGCGUAAAGGGCGCGUAGGCGGUCUUUUAAGUCGGGGGUGAAAGCCUGUGGCUCAACCACAGAAUUGCCUUCGAUACUGGGAGACUUGAGUUCGGAAGAGGUUGGUGGAACUGCGAGUGUAGAGGUGAAAUUCGUAGAUAUUCGCAAGAACACCGGUGGCGAAGGCGGCCAACUGGUCCGACACUGACGCUGAGGCGCGAAAGCGUGGGGGGCGAACGGG
This 253-nucleotide ribosomal RNA is filed under the name uncultured bacterium. Its description in RNAcentral is "partial 16S ribosomal RNA". It matches the Rfam family "Bacterial small subunit ribosomal RNA", at positions 524 to 776 of the family's 1533-position model. The record is from RNAcentral.